GACAGGGAAGUCCUAAAUGGAACAUGGCAGCAGCAUUACUUGCUCUAACAGCAAUUUAUCCAUCAUGAAGUGAUGGCAGUCUGAUUUUUGGAAGGCUAGGAAUAUUUUUUGCAUUUACUAAUAUAGCAAGAUACCUCCUACUACUAUCAUAAAACAAGCUCACACUUUGUUAGAUCAACAUGAUGUUGAUACAGUAAAGGUUCCGGAGUCUCACAAGUCUAAUUAUGUUGUAUUGCUGCAAAACUCUGGUUGGACACUGAUAUGACUAAGAUCGAACACUGUUUGAGAA
This 289-nucleotide long non-coding RNA is filed under the name Elaeis guineensis (African oil palm). RNAcentral describes it as "long non-coding RNA (EGUI_LNC038982)". The record is from RNAcentral. Lineage: Eukaryota; Viridiplantae; Streptophyta; Magnoliopsida; Arecales; Arecaceae.